RNAcentral lists this unclassified non-coding RNA (332 nucleotides) under soil metagenome. Its description in RNAcentral is "partial contains 5.8S ribosomal RNA, internal transcribed spacer 2, and large subunit ribosomal RNA". The stretch from base 1 to 120 matches the Rfam family "5.8S ribosomal RNA", at positions 35 to 154 of the family's 154-position model. The record is from RNAcentral.
GAUGAAGAACGCAGCGAAAUGCGAUAAGUAGUGUGAAUUGCAGAAUUCAGUGAAUCAUCGAAUCUUUGAACGCACAUUGCGCCCCUUGGUAUUCCAUGGGGCAUGCCUGUUCGAGCGUCAUUUGUACCCUCAAGCACAGCUUGGUGUUGGGACUCGCGUUAAUUCGCGUUCCUCAAAUUGAUUGGCGGUCACGUCGAGCUUCCAUAGCGUAGUAGUAAAACCCUCGUUACUGGUAAUCGUCGCGGCCACGCCGUUAAACCCCAACUUCUGAAUGUUGACCUCGGAUCAGGUAGGAAUACCCGCUGAACUUAAGCAUAUCAAUAAGCGGAGGA